Molecule: long non-coding RNA, 1009 nt
Filed under: Homo sapiens (human)
Lineage: Eukaryota; Metazoa; Chordata; Mammalia; Primates; Hominidae
Description: FRMD6 antisense RNA 2
Source: RNAcentral
GGCCGUCGGGAGCUGAAAUAGAGGCCAGGACUCCUGGCUCCCCGUCCAGACUCUGAGGACCCAGGAGCCUCCAUGGGUACACUCAGAGGCCACACUAGAUGCAAAAAGAACCAUUUACAGAGAAGUGAGAGGUUCUCAAAGGCUCAACCAAAUGCCUCUGCCAGGAGAAUCUUUCAGAGUGUCCUGGAACAUUGGAAAUAGGCUUAAAGCUUAAAUGAUGAAUCAGAAGAGUUAUGCUGUAUUCUAAUGCUGCCACUAGAUCAGAUACCACCUCUGAGAUCCUUCUCUGCUCCUCACUGACCAAACUCAAGGAACAGAUCUUCCCUGCCCAGGUCUCCAGGACCCCAACCUACCCACUUCUAGGAGAGAAUUCACACAGGUCUUGAGGAAUAGAGACUACAAACAAAUCAAGUCUUCUGUGGGAAUGCUGGGCCAUGGGCUUUGGAAUCACCACCAGUGAUGGAACCCGAAGUAAGCUACUAAACCUCGACAGGCUCAUUCAUGAAUCACCACCAGUGAUGGAACCCCAGGUGGUCCUGAAAGGAGGAGGUGCUUUGCUUCUCUUUUUCGCAGAUGUCAAUUAUGGAUCAACUUCUGAGUCACAUAGAAGAGCACCAUCAAUUGGCCAUUUCUCACCUGAUCACUGAGGAUAUAAAGUGCUUUUCCAGACUCCAGGACUCGGUUCAUUGCUAGUAUCAGGACGCCUCUCAUGUAUGGGAAGCCAGAAACAUCCCAGGAGCCUCACUGACUGCUUGGGCACAGCCCUCUGAGCAGACCUAUGAAGAAACAGAAGGAUUUGUGCCUUUUAGGUAUCUCUGGUCAAAACAGGUAUUUGAAGUUCUGAUUCUGCUAUUAUCUGGCACCUCCACUUGGCCCAUUGCUGGAAAUAUUAGGACUAGAAAACAUCAAGAUCAGGCACCGAACAGGCAAAUCUCCACUGAGUGGUUCUGAUGUGCAAAUAGCUGAUGAAGACUGGUUAUGGUUAUAAAAUGGAACACAGUUUUCUAAU